CGUAGGUGGCGAGCGUUAUCCGGAUUUACUGGGCGUAAAGGGUGUGCAGGCGGGUCAUUAAGUGGUGUAUGAAAUCGUCCGGCUCAACCGGGCGAGGUUAUGCCAGACUGGUGGUCUAGAGAGCGAGAGAGGGACGUGGAAUUCCGGGUGUAGUGGUGAAAUGCGUAGAGAUCCGGAGGAACCCCAGAGGCGAAGGCGGCGUCCUGGCUCGCAUCUGACGCUCAGACACGACAGCAUGGGGAGCGAACGGGAUUAGAAACCCCGGUAGUCCAUGCCGUAAACGAUGCCAACUAGGCGCUGGCGGUCUCAACCCCGUCGGUGCCGCAGCAAACGCGAUAAGUUGGCCGCCUGGGGAGUACGGUCGCAAGGCUA
Molecule: ribosomal RNA, 372 nt
Filed under: uncultured organism
Description: bacterial SSU rRNA
Rfam family: Bacterial small subunit ribosomal RNA
Source: RNAcentral